UGAAGUGCGAUAUGUGUCAUGACUUGCAGAUUCCCGAGAGCUGACAAAUCUCUGAAUGCAUAUGGCGGCCGCUUGACCCGGCCAUGUAUUGCAGAGUGUAGUUGUUCCUACUCAUCAUCCUCCAAACACUCCAUAGUGUAGAGGGAUCUGCGCUUGCUCCUUUGGCGAGCGUGAAAAUGACGGUGCUGCACAAGUGCGUUUACGCAUAUGUGCACGCGCUACGGAGACUAUAUACUAUACAGUAUAUAUGCAUAUAGCGCUGUGGUAACAACACACCAUACCUAUCUAUACACUCCACCUCUGCAGUACAGGAAAACCCGCUGAACUUAA
RNAcentral lists this unclassified non-coding RNA (330 nucleotides) under uncultured fungus. RNAcentral describes it as "sequence contains ITS1". The stretch from base 1 to 101 matches the Rfam family "5.8S ribosomal RNA", at positions 49 to 154 of the family's 154-position model. Lineage: Eukaryota; Fungi. The record is from RNAcentral.